Molecule: long non-coding RNA, 1151 nt
Organism: Carassius carassius (crucian carp)
Lineage: Eukaryota; Metazoa; Chordata; Actinopteri; Cypriniformes; Cyprinidae
Exons: 4
Source: RefSeq, a predicted model, not a curated record
AGUGUGAGCAGGUACGUUGAAUCCGUUCUGCAUUCACUGCACGGGAUCCUCCUUUUUCUUUCCUCCCAAAGUGCCACUCUGUUUUGGCUUCUUUCGUUUUCCAUACAACAGUUUAGCAAAUGAACAGUGACACACAUUAGUAUAAUCAGGGGCAACUUUUUCUUGUAAUGCAAUCUUUAAGGAGAGACCAGGAGCGGGGCAGCCUCAUGCUUGUGCUGCUCGUCCCACAGCUCUCCGCCUCUAAAUUAUUCAUCAUCCAAUCAAUCAUCUUCUCUUUGUUUUGGACCCCAGUGCAGGAGAUGAAACGGCAGACUGCCAGAGCUGUUUUUCUUCAUCUGAGGUCUUCUUGAGAGAUAAUUUUAGAGAGAAACCAUGAGGAGGGGACAUGAAAUAGAUUUGGGAAAAUAGAUGAGGAAACAUCACAGGCCUGACUCGAACCAUGUCACCCAUAGUCGCGUCGACUGAUAGCUUCAAAACGCAGAAGAGUGAGACCUUAUUCAGCCUCCUGCUAGUGCGACAUCAGAGGAGCUGACAUCUAUUAUGAUAUUCACCCGGUGAGUGCCAAACACGUGUAUACACACUUCAGUUGAGGAUGGAGAUCGAGGUGAAAUAUUGCAUGAGGGAAUCGUAGCGAGUGAGCCGGACGUCUGGAGGCAGAUAAAUAGCUUUGGCUGGCGGUUAGGACACAUCAGCCGUAAACAGUACCGGCAGCCAUAAAAAGACGAACAGCUUUAUUUCCCCAGCCCUUGCAGACAGAUCAGUGAGAUGGACACAGCGCUCAGAGUAAAUAAAACAAGCUGACUGGCAGGGCGGUUAGACUGGGAGCAGAAACAUCGCUCCGGGUCCCAUAAUAAUGCCCCGUAGGGCUCACGUCAAGACUCUCCAGUGGGACUGAGCAAGUGCUUUCACCUCCCUGAUUAUCGCUCACCAACUUAACCUGGUAUCCACACUGACACCAAUAAAAACACAAUGUUUGCUUUCUUUUCAGUACGGCUUGCUUGUAUGAUUACAUUACACAUUUAUAAAAUGCAUCAUUCCAGAUUCAAAAAUUUAUCGACGAGCCAUUUUUUAGCAUUUUUUUAUAUAACGCCAUCAUUGACCACCUAUCAGUUCAGUUAACUCAAUUCAAUGCAAUUAUAAACCAGUAAAAA